RNAcentral lists this ribosomal RNA (254 nucleotides) under uncultured bacterium. RNAcentral describes it as "partial 16S ribosomal RNA". It matches the Rfam family "Bacterial small subunit ribosomal RNA", at positions 524 to 776 of the family's 1533-position model. The record is from RNAcentral.
CACGGGGGGAGCGAACGUUGUCCGGAAUUAUUGGGCGUAAAGAGCUCGUAGGCGGUUUGUCGCGUCGAAUGUGAAAACCCGGGGCUCAACCCCGGGCCUGCAUUCGAUACUGCCGUGACUAGAGUUCGGUAGGGGAGUGUGGAAUUCCUGGUGGAGCGGUGAAAUGCGCAGAUAUCAGGAGGAACACCCGUAGCGAAGGCGGCACUCUGGGCCGAUACUGACACUGAGGAGCGAAAGCGUGGGGAGCGAACAGG